AGGUCUGUGCUCAAGACUAGACCAUUAUCUCAAAAUAUGAGGACCGAGAGAAAAUAAACUCGAUCGAACUAGCUAUUUGUCCAAUUUCACUUCAAUUCUCAAUGCACAAAAACCCAAUCCAACUAUUACUAUUGCAUUUUUGUGUGUAGAGAUCAAUUAUCAAGAUGGUUCAAGAAAAAUCUUGGUCUAUUUUAAGAAUUUGUCAUGUAGAGAUCAACUAUCAGUCUCUAAUAUCUAAUCAUUGAAGGGAAAGAUAGUUUUAUAUAUUAGAAACUGAAAUUGUAAUGUAUAUAUUUUUAGUGUUCUAGAGUGGUUUUACAAA
Molecule: long non-coding RNA, 322 nt
Organism: Cryptomeria japonica (Japanese cedar)
Lineage: Eukaryota; Viridiplantae; Streptophyta; Pinopsida; Cupressales; Cupressaceae
Exons: 2
Source: RefSeq, a predicted model, not a curated record